Molecule: ribosomal RNA, 253 nt
Filed under: uncultured bacterium
Lineage: Bacteria
Description: partial 16S ribosomal RNA
Rfam family: Bacterial small subunit ribosomal RNA
Source: RNAcentral
UACGGGGGGGGCAAGCGUUGUUCGGAAUUACUGGGCGUAAAGGGCUCGUAGGCGGCCAACUAAGUCAGACGUGAAAUCCCUCGGCUUAACCGGGGAACUGCGUCUGAUACUGGAUGGCUUGAAUCCGGGAGAGGGAUGCGGAAUUCCAGGUGUAGCGGUGAAAUGCGUAGAUAUCUGGAGGAACACCGGUGGCGAAGGCGGUUCUCUGGGCAUUACCUGACGCUGAGGAGCGAAAGUGUGGGGAGCGAACAGG